Molecule: unclassified non-coding RNA, 177 nt
Filed under: uncultured Clavariaceae
Lineage: Eukaryota; Fungi; Basidiomycota; Agaricomycetes; Agaricales; Clavariaceae
Description: sequence contains ITS1
Source: RNAcentral
UUGAAAUCCUUAGGAUGUUGCUGGCCUUUCGGGGCAUGUGCACUCCGCCUUUUCAACUCACCUGUGCACUCAUUGUAGGCCGGACUUGUAAGAGUCUGUGUCUAUGUUUUUACACACCCCUUUUAAAAGUUUAACAGAAUGUCAUAAUAGACCUUCAAUGGUCGAAAUAAAUUAAUA